This 1534-nucleotide long non-coding RNA is filed under the name Callithrix jacchus (white-tufted-ear marmoset). RNAcentral describes it as "lncRNA (ENSCJAG00000056579.2)". The record is from RNAcentral. Lineage: Eukaryota; Metazoa; Chordata; Mammalia; Primates; Cebidae.
GCUGCCUGACAAAUGCCUGGCCAGCGGGGAUCAGAGGCAAACGCCACUGCAGUUUGGCCCUGUUGUCAGAGCGAGUCACUGGCUGAGAAGAUGAAUCUGUCCUGGGCCUCAAAGCCAGGGCCGUAGCAGCCUCUCUUCUGGGCACCGAGAAGGCAGUGCUGAGCCCAGGGCUGCACUGGGAGAGACAAGGAGGGGCCCGAGUGUCUCAACCUUGGAAGAAACCUGGACCUCAGACUCAGUGCCCCUCCCAGCUCUGGCUGCAGGCUGUAGACACUUCAUUGUCUCCUGCUGAGCGACUGAGGACUUGGGAGGAAAUCCUGCUUAGAACUUCAAACCUCCAUUCCCAGAGCCGCAACCAGACACUGGAGGGGCAAAGAAGGUGGCAUCAGGAGAUCAUGAGGAGGGUCUCCCCGGGCAUGGAUGGACCUCCUGCCUGGAGGGGCUCAGUCCAGGAUUUCCCAAAAGCCAGCCCCAAGACCUGUGCUAAGCUUCUUACAUCCAAAUACUGGGAAAUAGAAAAUACAGAUCGCAGAUUCUGUAACAUGGGAUCUCUCUCUCCCUUCUCCUCACCUGUGCCUGCGUGCAUGUGUGGCUGUGUGGAUUGGGAGCCACUGAGACCCAGAGAUGGCAAAUGCUCUCAGCGGACAGCAUGUCCCCUGCCAGGGGCUUCAGGCAUGUACCUAUUAACUUUUCUGGAGGGGCGGGACAGCCACGGUCUCAGGUGUUUAAAAUCUCUUAAAGGUUUGACCCAUAGGAAUGUGUCAGCAGAGUGCUAAGAAUAUGGAGUCAGAAGGCCUUCUAAUUUCAUAUUCUGUCACUUAGUGGCUCCGUCAUUUAUUGGCAGCAUAAUUUUCAGCAAGUCACUUGCUUUCUGAAGCCUCAAUUUCCUCAUCUAUAAAAUGGGGAUAUUGAUGCCUGUCUUGCUGUGGAAUCUUCAUGUGAGCAUAUUUUGAAAACCACAGGCCAGGCACGGUGGCUCACACCUGUAAUGCCAGCACUUUGGGAGGCCAAGGCAGAUGGAUCACAAGGUCAGGAGUUUGAGGCCAGCCAGGCCAAUGUAGUAAAACCCCAUCUCUACUAAAAAUGCAAAAAUUAGCAGGGCAUGGUGGCAGGCGCCUGUAGUCCCAGCUACUUGGGAGGCAGAGGUGUGAUAACUGCUUGAACCCAGAGACGGAGGUUUCAGUGAGCUGACAUCACACCUUUGUACUCCAGCCUGGGCGACAGAGUGAGAUUCCGUCAAAAAAAAGAAAACUGCAAAGCUCCACUUUUUAACCCCGAUGAAAUCCAGAACCAGACUGACUUUUCAAAGGAGAAACCUUUCAGGCUGAAUUUUCUUCCACUUCUUCCAAGUCCAGCUGUAUCUCAUAUUGAAAGAUGAUCUCCAUGGAGGAGCCCCCAUCCCGCCCAAAGGUUUCUCGUACUCAGUCUUUGGGCGACACCUGCUGGCCGUAGCAGGUACUGUGUCCUCCUGUAGCUAAACAGCUCUGCGGAGGAAGCUUACCCAUCUCCUUAGACAUUCGCAGCCACGCUGCAG